GUGCAAUGAUGCAUUUUAUUAAUCAACACAUCAUUCUGAAAACAGAUGUGUAGAGAAAUAAUAACUGAGCACA
Small nucleolar RNA from Cricetulus griseus (Chinese hamster), 73 nucleotides. Its record names the gene SNORD63. It matches the Rfam family "Small nucleolar RNA SNORD63". From Rfam's summary of the family: snoRNA U63 is found in both humans and mice. U63 is a member of the C/D class of snoRNA which contain C (UGAUGA) and D (CUGA) box motifs. Most of the members of the box C/D family function in directing site-specific 2'-O-methylation of substrate RNAs. The record is from Ensembl. Lineage: Eukaryota; Metazoa; Chordata; Mammalia; Rodentia; Cricetidae.